CCUACGGGAGGCAGCAGUGAGGAAUAUUGGUCAAUGGACGCGAGCCUGAACCAGCCAAGUAGCGUGAAGGAUGACUGCCCUAUGGGUUGUAAACUUCUUUUAUAUGGGAAUAAAAUGCAGUACGUAUACUUUUUUGCAUGUACCUUAUGAAUAAGGAUCGGCUAACUCCGUGCCAGCAGCCGCGGUAAUACGGAGGAUCCGAGCGUUAUCCGGAUUUAUUGGGUUUAAAGGGAGCGUAGGUGGGUUGUUAAGUCAGUUGUGAAAGUUUGCGGCUCAACCGUAAAAUUGCAGUUGAUACUGGCAUGCUUGAGUGCAGUAGAGGUAGGCGGAAUUCGUGGUGUAGCGGUGAAAUGCUUAGAUAUCACGAAGAACUCCGAUUGCGAAGGCAGUUUGCUGGACUGUAACUGACGCUGAGGCUCGAAAGUGUGGGUAUCAAACAGGAUUAGAUACCCGAGUAGUC
RNAcentral lists this ribosomal RNA (460 nucleotides) under uncultured bacterium. RNAcentral describes it as "partial 16S ribosomal RNA". It matches the Rfam family "Bacterial small subunit ribosomal RNA", at positions 338 to 795 of the family's 1533-position model. The record is from RNAcentral.